CACAAGCGGUGGAGUAUGUGGUUUAAUUCGAUGCAACGCGAAGAACCUUACCUGGUCUUGACAUCCCGGAGACCCUUAGGAAACUAGGGGGUGCUUCCAUCUGGAAGAAUCUGGAGACAGGUGCUGCAUGGCUGUCGUCAGCUCGUGUCGUGAGGUGUUGGGUUAAGUCCCGCAACGAGCGCAACCCUUGCCUUUAGUUGCCAGCAGUUCGGCUGGGCACUCUAAAGGGACUGCCGGUGUUAAACCGGAGGAAGGUGGGGAUGACGUCAAGUCCUCAUGGCCUUUAUGACCAGGGCUACACACGUACUACAAUGGCCGAUACAAAGGGCAGCGACACUGCGAGGUGAAGCCAAUCCCGUAAAAUCGGUCUCAGUCCGGAUUGGCGUCUGCAACUCGACUCCAUGAAGUUGGAAUCGCUAGUAAUCGUGGAUCAGCAUGCCACGGUGAAUACGUUCCCGGGCCUU
This 464-nucleotide ribosomal RNA is filed under the name uncultured Desulfobulbus sp. Its description in RNAcentral is "bacterial SSU rRNA". It matches the Rfam family "Bacterial small subunit ribosomal RNA", at positions 924 to 1382 of the family's 1533-position model. Lineage: Bacteria; Pseudomonadati; Thermodesulfobacteriota; Desulfobulbia; Desulfobulbales; Desulfobulbaceae. The record is from RNAcentral.